UACCAGACUCCUACGGGAGGCAGCAGUGGGGGAUAUUGCACAAUGGGGGGAACCCUGAUGCAGCGACGCCGCGUGGGUGAAGGAGUGCUUCGGCAUGUAAAGCCCUAUCGGCAGGGAAGAAGCAAGACGGUACCUGACUAAGAAGCCCCGGCUAACUACGUGCCAGCAGCCGCGGGAAUACGUAGGGGGCGAGCGUUAUCCGGAUUCACUGGGUGUAAAGGGAGCGCAGGCGGCACGGCAAGCCUGAUGUGAAAGCCCGCGGCCCAACCGCGGGACUGCAUUGGGAACUACCGGGCUGGAGUGCCGGAGAGGUAGGCGGAAUUCCUAGUGUAGCGGUGAGAUGCGUAGAUAUCAGGAGGAACACCGGUGGCGAAGGCGGCCUGCUGGACUGCGACUGACGUUGAGGCCCGAAAGCGUGGGGAGCAAACAGGAUUAGAUACCCCAGUA
Molecule: ribosomal RNA, 447 nt
Filed under: uncultured bacterium
Lineage: Bacteria
Description: bacterial SSU rRNA
Rfam family: Bacterial small subunit ribosomal RNA
Source: RNAcentral